AGAGUUUGAUCAUGGCUCAGAUUGAACGCUGGCGGCAGGCCUAACACAUGCAAGUCGAGCGGUAGAGAGAAGCUUGCUUCUCUUGGGGGCGGCGGACGGGUGAGUAAUGCCUAAGAAUCUGCCUGGUAGUGGGGGAUAACGUUCGGAAACGGACGCUAAUACCGCAUACGUCCUACGGGAGAAAGCAGGGGACCUUCGGGCCUUGCGCUAUCAGAUGAGCCUAGGUCGGAUUAGCUAGUUGGUGAGGUAAUGGCUCACCAAGGCGACGAUCCGUAACUGGUCUGAGAGGAUGAUCAGUCACACUGGAACUGAGACACGGUCCAGACUCCUACGGGAGGCAGCAGUGGGGAAUAUUGGACAAUGGGCGAAAGCCUGAUCCAGCCAUGCCGCGUGUGUGAAGAAGGUCUUCGGAUUGUAAAGCACUUUAAGUUGGGAGGAAGGGUUGUAGAUUAAUACUCUGCAAUUUUGACGUUACCGACAGAAUAAGCACCGGCUAACUCUGUGCCAGCAGCCGCGGUAAUACAGAGGGUGCAAGCGUUAAUCGGAAUUACUGGGCGUAAAGCGCGCGUAGGUGGUUUGUUAAGUUGGAUGUGAAAUCCCCGGGCUCAACCUGGGAACUGCAUUCAAAACUGACUGACUAGAGUAUGGUAGAGGGUGGUGGAAUUUCCUGUGUAGCGGUGAAAUGCGUAGAUAUAGGAAGGAACACCAGUGGCGAAGGCGACCACCUGGACUAAUACUGACACUGAGGUGCGAAAGCGUGGGGAGCAAACAGGAUUAGAUACCCUGGUAGUCC
Molecule: ribosomal RNA, 793 nt
Filed under: uncultured bacterium
Lineage: Bacteria
Description: bacterial SSU rRNA
Rfam family: Bacterial small subunit ribosomal RNA
Source: RNAcentral